GAAUUUAAAACUUUCUUUACCAAGAAAACAUUUAAUUAAAAAUAGCAAGCGGAAGACUUUCUAGACUUUAUACAUGAUGUCUCAUAACCAUCUAAUACUUUAGAGUACAAAAUUCGGGACUAAUCCCGUACACAACUCAAACAAUACAAAAAAGACAUAAAAGAACAUAUUGGGUAUUGUCCUCGAAUCUAUGAGGACUCACCAAGUCUUCAUCUUCAACACUUAGAAACCUAUCAAA
This 238-nucleotide long non-coding RNA is filed under the name Solanum tuberosum (potato). Its description in RNAcentral is "long non-coding RNA (STUB_LNC009806)". The record is from RNAcentral. Lineage: Eukaryota; Viridiplantae; Streptophyta; Magnoliopsida; Solanales; Solanaceae.